Molecule: ribosomal RNA, 253 nt
Filed under: uncultured bacterium
Lineage: Bacteria
Description: partial 16S ribosomal RNA
Rfam family: Bacterial small subunit ribosomal RNA
Source: RNAcentral
UACGAAGGGUGCUAGCGUUGUUCGGAAUUACUGGGCGUAAAGCGCGCGUAGGCGGCGAUGCAAGUCAGAGGUGAAAUCCCAGGGCUCAACCCUGGAAUUGCCUUUGAAACUGCAUUGCUUGAGUGUCGGAGGGGAUAGCGGAAUUGCUAAUGUAGAGGUGAAAUUCGUAGAUAUUAGCAGGAACACCGGUGGCGAAGGCGGCUAUCUGGACGACAACUGACGCUGAGGCGCGAAAGCGCGGGGAUCAAACAGG